This 1170-nucleotide ribosomal RNA is filed under the name Triticum aestivum (bread wheat). RNAcentral's name for it is "partial small subunit ribosomal RNA". The record is from RNAcentral. Lineage: Eukaryota; Viridiplantae; Streptophyta; Magnoliopsida; Poales; Poaceae.
AUGGCCUCCUCUCCGCGCUCGCUCUGGGUCGCUCGCGCGAGGUUCGCUGGCUGGAGUCGAGCCCGUCCUCGGGCGGAUCCGCGGACUCGGCCAUGUCUUACCGGCAGGCCCUUUGCAGGGCACCUACGCCCUCGCCGGCUGCCUCCCCUCUCCCGGCGCCUGCGUCCCCUUCCUCCCCGCCUCCGGCCCCUGCGCCCUAGCCGCUGGCCGCCCGCUGCAUGCUCCGCUCCGAGGUCUGCUGGACGGAUGGUGCGCCCGCCCCUGGCGACGGCUGGCUGGUGGCCCGGGGCAAGAAGCGCCCGCGCCCGCGUGGCCCUCCCCGUCGCCUGCGUCGCGGCACCGGCGAGUCAUCCCGCCCGCGCCCGUCCGGGCUCCGCGAGGGGGGAAUGCCCCCGCUGCUUCAGCACUGCACACCUGCGCUCCGAGUGCCGGCGCGACAUCUGCUGCGCGCGCUGCCGGUUCUUCGGGCAUAAGGCCAAGGACUGCACCGCCCGCCCCGCGUCGCCCCCCUCGUCGUCCGGCGGGUCCGUCCCGCCCCCGCAGCGACGCCGCGUCUCCUCGAGCGAGCCGGCUCGCCCCCUCCCUGCCGCGCCGCCCCCUUCUGGCGACCCCGGCGCUGGCUCCGCGGCCACCACCCGCACCUCGUCGGGGCUGCACACGCCCGUGUCCUCCGGGCCGUCGGCUUGGCCGUCUGCGCCUCCCUCCGACUCCUCCCUCGCCGGCACCUUGGUCGCCACCCGCUCCUCCUCGAGUCUUCCGACGCCGCCCGUGUCUUCCGGGCCGACGACUCCCUCACGCUCGGUGUCGCCUCUGGCCUCUGCCUCCACCCAUGCCACCCGUUCUCCGGACAUCCGGCGCGCCGCCCGGCGGCUGCCAUCUGCUACCUGUCGCGGUCCUCUGAGGUCAUCGCCGUGGAGCGCGCCCUCCUCGUCACCGUGGCCGGUUGUCGCACGGGCGUGUCUGGCAACGAGGUCGCCGCCGUCCUCUGCUCCCAGUUCGGGCUCGCCGCGACCGACUUCUCGGUCCAUAAGCACGCACCCGAGGAUUUCCUGGUCAGGUUCCCCGACCCCGCGGCGCGCUGUUGUGUUGCUCUCGCCGGCCGCGCGCGCACGCGCCGUUUUCGCCUUAUUUUCCACCCUUGAGGCCGCACGGCCGGUUCCGAGCCGGUGA